AAAAGGGGGACGUGUAUUAUUCAUUAUGUAGAGUGUACCUGGUAUUGCCACGGAAGUAAGUCACAGGUGACCAGCGACUUGCUCUGUGAGCUUUAAGUUGCGGUGAAUCUGCGCGGUUUGAAUAUCAGGAUUUGAGAUCUUAUGUUGGAGGGGAUAAGUUCGUGUCUGAUGAACUGUUUCUCACGUCUCAAGGUCACUUUCGCGGUAUCCAUUCAAGCUAAUGCACGGAUUAAAACCACGGCAAAGCUUCUCAUGAAGGUGAUAACCUCGGCUUUCAGAGGUGGGUUUCCAAGUUUUUAUUAGUUUGCAAUGGGUGUUAUGUGACGUUGAAACGAGGUCAAUUGUUUUGAACUGUAGCCUGACUUGGAGUGGAAAUACUGCGUUCCACAAUAAUUGAAGAUUUCAUCCAGUGGAAGGGCUCUCAUGAAGCAAUCAUGGUCGGAAAGAUCAGGUGGCGUGUCUAACUUCGGGAUACUAUCAAUUUGUCGUCCGUGCGAAGGCAUGGGGCCCUGCCUCUGUACACAAGGUUUGUGAUCUAUUAUAAACAAUAGUUCUUAAAUAACAUCAAGGAAUUUUUGAGUUCUUUCACAGGACAAAUUGCUCGUCACUGUAACGGAGUUGAAGAAACACCUUCUGAGUCCAAGCGCUGAGUCUCGCAUCGUCGUCGAAAUAAUUUGAAAUUGGUUCACAGAGUGUUGCUCAGCAGCAGAUCGAAUGGUGGUUGUUGUUCCUGCUGAAGUCUUCUUGGUUAAAGCUCUUUUGUUGCUGCCUGAGGGCCCUUGGUAGCUGGCUUCAUGUAGAGCUUAUGUGGCCCAGAAUUCAUAAGAAGAGAUUAUCAGACUCAACUUAUAUCGGUAAAGUGUUUACCAGAUGAGUCGGUUAAGAUUCGAGGGAUGAACUCGAUGCAGAGAUACUGCAGCUUAACCAGAGAUUGUCAAUACUCGGUUUUAUGUUCACCGCUGAUGAGCCAAUGCUAGACGUGCUCUACAGUAACCUCUCCAUUGCACAUUUAGUACACCUCUAUCAUCUAGAAGCUCAUUUCGUUUUCAAGUCUUGCGAAGCAGAACGUGUUGUUGACUAUGUUGAAUCUACUGUUCCACUUCGGACUUUAUCUCCAGACCAGAUUUCUGUGAUAGCUUUAGGUUAUGCCUUUCAAACCAAGAAAUGACUACACCUUCACAUCAAUCAUCGAAAGUUGGAGGGUGCUCGAUUUUAACAAAGUGUGUUCACAUGCGUAAAGCAACAGAGGGCCAUUCCUGGAGCACAGUUAGGUUGCAACUUGAAUGAUAAAGAGAUAGAGUUUGUUUAUUUGUGUUGAAAUCACUGUGCUUCGAACACACUCUGUGUCAUGUCCCACUGUUGGCAGCAUGUUUACAAAUGAUCACUAAAUUGUGGAGUAGUAGUUGAGGGAUGAUGUACAGGUCUUAUCUUCUGUUAUGAUAUAAACGGCAUGCCGGGAACAUCAUCUUUAACUUCAAGAAUGAGCUUGCAAAUAUUCUGGAGGUUCAUCCCUACAAAUCGUGUUACGCAGGUUGAGGGUAACUGAGGAUCUCCUCUCUACUACUAAUGUCCUUGACUUUUCGUCACCCGCAAUUUCUAAAGUGCAGUCAGACUUUUGAUUAGAACGGCGUUCUGUAUUAAAAGCUGGUGCAUUUUGUACGUGUGUCUAAGGAUGUACACACUUCGCUGCUGUGGGUACUUGCUAAAAUGUCAGCUGAGAUCUACACAACUCCGGUGAGAAAUCCGCACGAAAAAAGGUGGCUGUCUUUGACAAUUUCGGGCGGGUCGAAAGAAACAGUGUCUACAGUUCGGUGAGCACAUGUCAAAAAGAGGGUGCCAAUUACUAUGCACCAUGAUAUAAUCAGCUAGCAGUCGUGCUCGUAGUUCAUUUCUCAGUUCUUUCGAAGGAUUGGGUGGCGCUCUCAUUGUGGGGGCAGAGGCGUUCUACCCUAGGUUUGCAUACUGCAAGCUGAGAUGGGUCGUAAAUGUAGAGAAAGCCUGACGAGUUCUAGACGUAAUAAGUAAGUUUCAUCCUAGACGAGCGGCUCGACUGACUCCUUUAAUUCAAACUUUACACGAAACUUGAAACAACCUAAUCAUUCAAAUAUGCUGCCGCGCAGAUUUGGAAAAUAGAAGAAACGAUGCUCCUUAGAAGAACGACAACGGAUUCCUCCCUCCUAUUCAUACCUCUUUUCACCAGUGUGAUGCCUAAGGGUCUACCCAGACACCGUCAAAUCUGAAACUUUGACUAUUUUAAUCUCAGUUCACACACCACUGACUGCUCAGGAAUUUUCAGAUUUAGAAGAUAACACAAUAUUAAGAUUCUUAAGAAAAACUCAAAAAGAAUCAGGCUGUCAAAUGACUUUGUCGUACAUAUUUUCAGUGGGACGGUGGACGAUGGAGGAAUUGGGAGCCGAGCACUAAGAAACGUGCUCUUACUUUUCCACAAGGAAAUCCUUACUUCUCCUAGAUAAAUGAAGAGAGGGGGUUAGCGCUGGACACGGUGAUGGUUUUGGCAGUGUGACCUUUGAGACCUGAAACUGCGCAGGACUGCGAAUCGAUGAGAUGCCUGCUUACCAACAUCAACCAUGCAAUUCUUAUGCACAAUUAGUGGGGUGAAAAAGGUGACAAGAAUGGCAUAUACGACCUGGUUGCUACAGGAAACGAGCACGGACCAUCUGGCAACAUGGAACUUGAUGAACGGUGUGUUGAAUUGGGCAUGAACAGCAAGGACAUACUAGCGUAUCUCCCAUUCAACUUCGAGUGGUAUUUACAUCACAAUCUUACUGCAACUACAGUAUUUAGCAGUUAAAACCCCUAAAUGCUACUGGACCUUUGCUACAAUAAAGCAGAAGGACGGUUUAAUAGAUG
Molecule: non-coding RNA, 2871 nt
Organism: Physcomitrium patens
Lineage: Eukaryota; Viridiplantae; Streptophyta; Bryopsida; Funariales; Funariaceae
Source: RefSeq, a predicted model, not a curated record